GACGGGGGGGGGGCAAGUGUUCUUUGGAAUGACUGGGCGUAAAGGGCACGUAGGUGGUGAAUCGGGUUGAAAGUGAAAGUCGCCAAAAAAGUGGCGGAAUGCUCUCGAAACCAAUUUACUUGAGUGAGAUAGAGGAGAGUGGAAUUUCAUGUGUAGGGGUGAAAUCCGUAGAUCUACGAAGGAACGCCAAAAGCGAAGGCAGCUCUCUGGGUCCCUACCGACGCUGGGGUGCGAAAGCAUGGGGAGCGAACAGGG
This 255-nucleotide ribosomal RNA is filed under the name uncultured bacterium. RNAcentral describes it as "partial 16S ribosomal RNA". It matches the Rfam family "Bacterial small subunit ribosomal RNA", at positions 522 to 777 of the family's 1533-position model. The record is from RNAcentral.